This 433-nucleotide ribosomal RNA is filed under the name uncultured bacterium. RNAcentral's name for it is "partial 16S ribosomal RNA". It matches the Rfam family "Bacterial small subunit ribosomal RNA", at positions 29 to 507 of the family's 1533-position model. The record is from RNAcentral.
AACGAACGCUGGCGGCAGGCUUAACACAUGCAAGUCGAGCGCAUCCUUCGGGGUGAGCGGCGGACGGGUGAGUAACGCGUGGGAACGUGCCCUCUUCUACGGAAUAGCCUCGGGAAACUGAGAGUAAUGCCGUAUACGCCCGCAAGGGGAAAGAUUUAUCGGAGGAGGAUCGGCCCGCGUUGGAUUAGGUAGUUGGUGGGGUAACGGCCUACCAAGCCGACGAUCCAUAGCUGGUUUGAGAGGAUGAUCGGCCACACUGGGACUGAGACACGGCCCAGACUCCUACGGGAGGCAGCAGUGGGGAAUCUUGGACAAUGGGGGCAACCCUGAUCCAGCCAUGCCGCGUGAUCGAUGAAGGCCUUAGGGUUGUAAAGAUCUUUCAGCUGGGAAGAUAAUGACGGUACCAGCAGAAGAAGCCCCGGCUAACUCCGUG